Molecule: ribosomal RNA, 742 nt
Filed under: uncultured bacterium
Lineage: Bacteria
Description: bacterial SSU rRNA
Rfam family: Bacterial small subunit ribosomal RNA
Source: RNAcentral
CAUGCAGUCGAGGGGCAGCAUUCACUUCGGUGAGAUGGCGACCGGCGCACGGGUGCGUAACGCGUAUGCAACCUACCUUAUACAAAGGGAUAGCCCAUGGAAACGUGGAUUAAUACCUUAUAGUACUAUAAAGCUGCAUAGCUUAAUAGUUAAAACUUCGGUGGUAUAAGAUGGGCAUGCGUAUGAUUAGGUAGUUGGUAGGGUAAAAGCCUACCAAGCCGACGAUCAUUAGGGGUUCUGAGAGGAUUAUCCCCCACACUGGUACUGAGACACGGACCAGACUCCUACGGGAGGCAGCAGUGAGGAAUAUUGGUCAAUGGACGAGAGUCUGAACCAGCUAUCCCGCGUGCAGGAUGACGGCCCUAUGGGUUGUAAACUGCUUUUGUAUGCCAAGAAAUCUAUCUACGUGUAGAAAGUUGACGGUAGCAUACGAAUAAGGACCGGCUAACUCCGUGCCAGCAGCCGCGGUAAUACGGAGGGUCCAAGCGUUAUCCGGAUUUAUUGGGUUUAAAGGGUGCGCAGGUGGGAAUGUAAGUCAGUGGUGAAAUUUUGCGGCUUAACCGUAAAACUGCCAUUGAUACUGCAUUUCUUGAAUAUGGUUGAGGUAGGCGGAAUGUGUCGUGUAGCGGUGAAAUGCAUAGAUAUGACACAGAACGCCAAUUGCGAAGGCAGCUUACUAAGCCAUUAUUGACGCUGAGGCACGAAAGCGUGGGGAGCGAACAGGAUUAGAUACCCUGGUAGU